GUAGGGGGCGAGCGUUGUCCGGAUUUAUUGGGCGUAAAGAGCUCGUAGGCGGCUCAGCAAGUCGGCCGUGAAAGCCUGAGGCUCAACCUCAGGACGCCGGUCGAAACUGCUGUGGCUAGGGUCCGGUAGAGGAGAGUGGAAUUCCCGGUGUAGCGGUGAAAUGCGCAGAUAUCGGGAGGAACACCAGUAGCGAAGGCGGCUCUCUGGGCCGGCACCGACGCUGAGGAGCGAAAGCUAGGGGAGCAAACAGGAUUAGAUACCCUGGUAGUCCUAGCCGUAAACGUUGGGCACUAGGUGUGGCGGAUUCAUUGACAUCUGCCGUGCCGAAGCUAACGCAUUAAGUGCCCCCGCCUGGGAGUACGGUCGCAAGGCUA
This 374-nucleotide ribosomal RNA is filed under the name uncultured organism. RNAcentral describes it as "partial 16S ribosomal RNA". It matches the Rfam family "Bacterial small subunit ribosomal RNA", at positions 527 to 896 of the family's 1533-position model. The record is from RNAcentral.